Otolemur garnettii (small-eared galago) is the source of this 107-nucleotide small nuclear RNA. The record is from Ensembl. NCBI's taxonomy places the organism in Eukaryota, Metazoa, Chordata, Mammalia, Primates, Galagidae.
GUGCUUGCUUUGGCAGUACCUAUACUAAAAUUGGAACAACACAGAGAAGAUUAGCAUGGCCCUUGUGCAAGGAUGACACGCAAAUUUGUGAAGCAUUUCAUAUUUAA